This 23-nucleotide non-coding RNA is filed under the name Cricetulus griseus (Chinese hamster). Lineage: Eukaryota; Metazoa; Chordata; Mammalia; Rodentia; Cricetidae. The record is from RNAcentral.
GACCUGGCCGAGACUGUGGACAA